RNAcentral lists this ribosomal RNA (440 nucleotides) under uncultured bacterium. Its description in RNAcentral is "partial 16S ribosomal RNA". It matches the Rfam family "Bacterial small subunit ribosomal RNA", at positions 338 to 795 of the family's 1533-position model. The record is from RNAcentral.
CCUACGGGAGGCAGCAGUGGGGAAUAUUGCACAAUGGGGGGAACCCUGAUGCAGCGACGCCGCGUGAGUGAAGAAGUACUUCGGUAUGUAAAGCUCUAUCAGUAGGGAAGAAAAUGACGGUACCUGACUAAGAAGCCCCGGCUAACUAUGUGCCAGCAGCCGCGGUACUACGUAGGGGGCAAGCGUUAUCCGGAUUUACUGGGUGUAAAGGGAGCGCAGACGGUUGUUCAAGUAUGGAGUGAAAGGCGGGGGCCCAAGCGCCGGACUGCUAUGGAAACUGUAAAGCUGGAGUGCAGGUGAGGUAAGCGGAAUUUGUGGUGUAGCGGUGAAAUGCGUAGAUAUUAGGAAGAACACCGAUGGCGAAGGCGGCUUACUAGACUGCAACUGACGUUGAUGCUCGAAAGCGUGGGUAGCAAACAGGAUUAGAUACCCGUGUAGUC